AAGCCAGGAGGGAGAGGAGCAGCGCCCAGGGCUAUGGACCUGUCUUCUUCCAGAUCUAGCUGUGCUAGCUGAAACAGUAGUACCCAUCCUCCGCAUCCCUUGCUCACCAUCCGGCAAGGCCAGCAAAAGAGGGUGCAUGUAAACAUCCCCUAGCCCAACUCAGAAAUACCCAGCUGGGUUAGUUCAAGGGUUCUCUGUCAGCAGGGUAACACAGCCCAGGUUGCUGUGGUGGAAGUGGAUAAUGAGCAUCUACACCACCUCUUCCCCUCCAGAGCUCUGCGGGCAGCGGUGACGGGCAGGAGCAUUUUCAGCUGGCACAGUAGGUUUCCAAAGAGGUGCAGAAGUUCAAGUUACAGCGUGGAAGUGGCAAAUAAAUACACAGCAUUAGCGUCUGACGUGCUCGCCGAGCAACCGGGGAUGUUAAUAACUGGCAAGGGCUGUAACAAAAUGGUGGCAAAGGAAAAAGAGUACAAGUGAGUGUCUAUUCCCACCUGGGAGGGGGCUGCACGGUCUUCCUGCCGAUGGGCUUAUUUUGCUCAUCGCUCGCUUGAGAAAGGGAUGUUUUAACAAAUGUUGAAAAUAAGAAAAGGCACAGCGGUUUCAAAAACAACAGCACGAGAGGAAAAGGAGAGAAAAAUGCAAGUUUCAAUCAUCAUUAAUGUCUUUCUAUGUUGUCAAAAUAUUUUCUUUACAGAAGAAUUAAAAUUAUAGUUGGAAUGGCACUGGAAUGGA
Long non-coding RNA from Falco peregrinus (peregrine falcon), 732 nucleotides. RefSeq lists it as uncharacterized. The transcript is spliced from 3 exons. Lineage: Eukaryota; Metazoa; Chordata; Aves; Falconiformes; Falconidae. The record is from RefSeq and is a predicted model, not a curated record.